UACGGGGGGGGUAAGCGUUGUUCGGAAUUACGGGGCGUAAAGGGCUCGUAGGCGGCCAACUAAGUCAGACGUGAAAUCCCUCAGCUUAACUGGGGAACUGCGUCUGAUACUGGAUGGCUUGGAUUCGGGAGAGGAAUGCGGAAUUCCAGGUGUAGCGGUGAAAUGCGUAGAUAUCUGGAGGAACACCGGUGGCGAAGGCGGCAUUCUGGACCGACAUUGACGCUGAGGAGCGAAAGCUAGGGGAGCAAACAGG
RNAcentral lists this ribosomal RNA (253 nucleotides) under uncultured bacterium. RNAcentral's name for it is "partial 16S ribosomal RNA". It matches the Rfam family "Bacterial small subunit ribosomal RNA", at positions 524 to 776 of the family's 1533-position model. The record is from RNAcentral.